RNAcentral lists this ribosomal RNA (402 nucleotides) under bacterium. Its description in RNAcentral is "partial 16S ribosomal RNA". It matches the Rfam family "Bacterial small subunit ribosomal RNA", at positions 355 to 776 of the family's 1533-position model. The record is from RNAcentral.
UGGGGAAUUUUGCACAAUGGGGGAAACCCUGAUGCAGCGACGCCGCGUGAUUUAGAAGGCCUUCGGGUUGUAAAAAUCUUUUCUAUGGGAAGAAAAUGACAGUACCAUAGGAAUAAGGACCGGCUAAUUACGUGCCAGCAGCCGCGGUAAUACGUAAGGUCCGAGCGUUGUCCGGAAUCAUUGGGCGUAAAGGGUACGUAGGCGGGUAAGCAAGUUAGAAGUGAAAUCCUAUAGCUCAACUAUAGUAAGCUUUUAAAACUGCUCAUCUUGAGGCAUGGAAGGGAAAGUGGAAUUCCUAGUGUAGCGGUGAAAUGCGCAGAUAUUAGGAGGAAUACCGGUGGCGAAGGCGACUUUCUGGCCAUAACCUGACGCUGAGGUACGAAAGCGUGGGUAGCAAACAGG